RNAcentral lists this non-coding RNA (27 nucleotides) under Homo sapiens (human). The record is from RNAcentral. Lineage: Eukaryota; Metazoa; Chordata; Mammalia; Primates; Hominidae.
UGUGAAGGGUGACCAUGGAAUUUCAGC